AGCGAACGCUGGCGGCAGGCUUAACACAUGCAAGUCGAGCGGGCGUAGCAAUACGUCAGCGGCAGACGGGUGAGUAACGCGUGGGAACAUACCUCUUGGUUCGGAACAACACAGGGAAACUUGUGCUAAUACCGGAUAAGCCCUUACGGGGAAAGAUUUAUCGCCGAGAGAUUGGCCCGCGUCUGAUUAGCUAGUUGGUGAGGUAACGGCUCACCAAGGCGACGAUCAGAGCUGGUCUGAGAGGAUGAUCAGCCACAUUGGGACUGAGACACGGCCCAAACUCCUACGGGAGGCAGCAGUGGGGAAUAUUGGACAAUGGGCGCAAGCCUGAUCCAGCCAUGCCGCGUGAGUGAUGAAGGCCCUAGGGUUGUAAAGCUCUUUUACCCGGGAAGAUAAUGACUGUACCGGGAGAAUAAGCCCCGGCUAACUUCGUGCCAGCAGCCGCCGUAAC
Molecule: ribosomal RNA, 451 nt
Filed under: uncultured bacterium
Lineage: Bacteria
Description: bacterial SSU rRNA
Rfam family: Bacterial small subunit ribosomal RNA
Source: RNAcentral